This 1331-nucleotide ribosomal RNA is filed under the name Escherichia coli. RNAcentral describes it as "partial 23S ribosomal RNA". It matches the Rfam family "Bacterial large subunit ribosomal RNA", at positions 418 to 1751 of the family's 2925-position model. Lineage: Bacteria; Pseudomonadati; Pseudomonadota; Gammaproteobacteria; Enterobacterales; Enterobacteriaceae. The record is from RNAcentral.
CGGGACACGUGGUAUCCUGUCUGAAUAUGGGGGGACCAUCCUCCAAGGCUAAAUACUCCUGACUGACCGAUAGUGAACCAGUACCGUGAGGGAAAGGCGAAAAGAACCCCGGCGAGGGGAGUGAAAAAGAACCUGAAACCGUGUACGUACAAGCAGUGGGAGCACGCUUAGGCGUGUGACUGCGUACCUUUUGUAUAAUGGGUCAGCGACUUAUAUUCUGUAGCAAGGUUAACCGAAUAGGGGAGCCGAAGGGAAACCGAGUCUUAACUGGGCGUUAAGUUGCAGGGUAUAGACCCGAAACCCGGUGAUCUAGCCAUGGGCAGGUUGAAGGUUGGGUAACACUAACUGGAGGACCGAACCGACUAAUGUUGAAAAAUUAGCGGAUGACUUGUGGCUGGGGGUGAAAGGCCAAUCAAACCGGGAGAUAGCUGGUUCUCCCCGAAAGCUAUUUAGGUAGCGCCUCGUGAAUUCAUCUCCGGGGGUAGAGCACUGUUUCGGCAAGGGGGUCAUCCCGACUUACCAACCCGAUGCAAACUGCGAAUACCGGAGAAUGUUAUCACGGGAGACACACGGCGGGUGCUAACGUCCGUCGUGAAGAGGGAAACAACCCAGACCGCCAGCUAAGGUCCCAAAGUCAUGGUUAAGUGGGAAACGAUGUGGGAAGGCCCAGACAGCCAGGAUGUUGGCUUAGAAGCAGCCAUCAUUUAAAGAAAGCGUAAUAGCUCACUGGUCGAGUCGGCCUGCGCGGAAGAUGUAACGGGGCUAAACCAUGCACCGAAGCUGCGGCAGCGACGCUUAUGCGUUGUUGGGUAGGGGAGCGUUCUGUAAGCCUGUGAAGGUGUGCUGUGAGGCAUGCUGGAGGUAUCAGAAGUGCGAAUGCUGACAUAAGUAACGAUAAAGCGGGUGAAAAGCCCGCUCGCCGGAAGACCAAGGGUUCCUGUCCAACGUUAAUCGGGGCAGGGUGAGUCGACCCCUAAGGCGAGGCCGAAAGGCGUAGUCGAUGGGAAACAGGUUAAUAUUCCUGUACUUGGUGUUACUGCGAAGGGGGGACGGAGAAGGCUAUGUUGGCCGGGCGACGGUUGUCCCGGUUUAAGCGUGUAGGCUGGUUUUCCAGGCAAAUCCGGAAAAUCAAGGCUGAGGCGUGAUGACGAGGCACUACGGUGCUGAAGCAACAAAUGCCCUGCUUCCAGGAAAAGCCUCUAAGCAUCAGGUAACAUCAAAUCGUACCCCAAACCGACACAGGUGGUCAGGUAGAGAAUACCAAGGCGCUUGAGAGAACUCGGGUGAAGGAACUAGGCAAAAUGGUGCCGUAACUUCGGGAGAAGGCACGC